GUGGAUUAGAUACCCUGGUAGUCCACGCCCUAAACGAUGUCAACUGGGUGUUGGGGAAGCGAUUUCCCAGUACCGUAGCUAACGCGUGAAGUUGACCGCCUGGGGAGUACGGCCGCAAGGUUAAAACUCAAAGGAAUUGACGGGGACCCGCACAAGCGGUGGAUGAUGUGGAUUAAUUCGAUGCAACGCGAACAACCUUACCUACCCUUGACAUGUCCGAGAGCCCGCUGAGAGGUGGGUGUGCCCGAAAGGGAAUCGGAACACAGGUGCUGCACGGUUGUCGACAACU
RNAcentral lists this ribosomal RNA (289 nucleotides) under uncultured bacterium. RNAcentral describes it as "partial 16S ribosomal RNA". It matches the Rfam family "Bacterial small subunit ribosomal RNA", at positions 773 to 1060 of the family's 1533-position model. The record is from RNAcentral.